RNAcentral lists this unclassified non-coding RNA (353 nucleotides) under soil metagenome. RNAcentral describes it as "partial contains 5.8S ribosomal RNA, internal transcribed spacer 2, and large subunit ribosomal RNA". The stretch from base 2 to 119 matches the Rfam family "5.8S ribosomal RNA", at positions 37 to 154 of the family's 154-position model. The record is from RNAcentral.
GUGAAGAACGCAGCGAAAUGCGAUAAGUAGUGUGAAUUGCAGAAUUCAGUGAAUCAUCGAAUCUUUGAACGCACAUUGCGCCUCCUGGUAUUCCGGGAGGCAUGCCUGUUCGAGCGUCAUUAAAAUCACUCAAGCUUAGGUUUACCUAUUGCUUGGUCUUGGAGAUGGAAGCCAAUUCAUUGGAAUCCUCUUCGAAAUCCAAUGGCGAAGACCCUUGCUCUCCCAAGUGUAGUAAUAACUUAUGUCACUGAAGGAAGCGAGAAAUCUUCCGCCGUAACCCCCAUAUUUUCUAUGAUUGACCUCGGAUCAGGUAGGGAUACCCGCUGAACUUAAGCAUAUCAAUAAGCGGAGGA